Molecule: long non-coding RNA, 838 nt
Organism: Perca fluviatilis (European perch)
Lineage: Eukaryota; Metazoa; Chordata; Actinopteri; Perciformes; Percidae
Exons: 2
Source: RefSeq, a predicted model, not a curated record
UUACCAGGCACACCUGACUUCCAUUCACAAUCAAGCUCAGUACAAGAAAACCGGCUCUCCUCUCACUCAUCGCCAGAUUGUUUUUCUGCUCCCUAUGUGCACCUGCCAGAACUGAGCCUGCCUUCCUGCUGAUCAUCUGCCACAGCCUGCCACUUAUUCCUCACCACCAGACACCAUCUGCUUUCAUCGGGAUUGUCUCCUCACCACCUUGAUUAACUCUCUCUUACUUGCAAGUAAUGAGAUAAAAUAAACCUAACUACUAUCCAUUGUGCCUGUGUCUGAAUCUGCUACUGGGGUCCAAACUGGGAGCAAAUCAUAACAGGAGGAUUAAAAAACAUGAUGGACUCUUCAGAAGAGGUCAUUAUCUUCACUUGAGUCACCGGAUGCCACAAUCUUCUGAACAUAGUCCUACUGAGAAAUCCAGAGAGAGUUGUGUGGAGCUGAUAGUCUUCAUUAGCUUUGUAGCAACUCAUUUGGCAAUGGUUUGAACGUUACAGAUGUUCAUUAGUAUAAAAUAGUUAUGCACUAAAGCUUUAAAUAUAGAACUGUUACAUACUCUUCUUGGCCUAAACCCCAACAUUCAGGUUUGAUGGGCAUGUGGUUCUGUCCAUUCCUGGUGGCAUCCAUUACUGUCCAGUAUUUCAUUCUAACUGGUGCUGCUGCUGGCUGAAAGUCUUUUAUUCAUAAACCCUUAAAACUACAGACUGUAUUUAAUGUUGGAUAUAUGUUUGCUUAACUUUCCCAUAUCUUGUGUGUUUUCUUGAGGAAAAAGUCAAUCAAAACGUGAAAAGUACAGUUGCAGUGUCUUUCAUUAAAAUUUUUGGUGACAGUCCCUUAA